This 94-nucleotide transfer RNA is filed under the name Halopelagius longus. RNAcentral's name for it is "tRNA_Thr_CGT". It matches the Rfam family "tRNA". From Rfam's summary of the family: Transfer RNA (tRNA) molecules are approximately 80 nucleotides in length. Their secondary structure includes four short double-helical elements and three loops (D, anti-codon, and T loops). The record is from RNAcentral. Lineage: Archaea; Methanobacteriati; Methanobacteriota; Halobacteria; Halobacteriales; Haloferacaceae.
GGAAGGGUAGCUCAGUGGUAGAGCGUCUCCGACGGCGACCGCUCCGCGGCCGCCCGGAGUACGGCUUCGCGUGGUUCGACUCCCGCCCCUUCCA